This 497-nucleotide ribosomal RNA is filed under the name uncultured bacterium. RNAcentral's name for it is "partial 16S ribosomal RNA". It matches the Rfam family "Bacterial small subunit ribosomal RNA", at positions 28 to 507 of the family's 1533-position model. The record is from RNAcentral.
GAUGAACGCUGGCGGCGUGCCUAAUACAUGCAAGUCGAGCGAACGGACGAGAAGCUUGCUUCUCUGAUGUUAGCGGCGGACGGGUGGGUAACACGUGGAUAACCUACCUAUAAGACUGGGAUAACUUCGGGAAACCGGAGCUAAUACCGGAUAAUAUUUUGAACCGCAUGGUUCAAAAGUGAAAGACGGUCUUGCUGUCACUUAUAGAUGGAUCCGCGCUGCAUUAGCUAGUUGGUAAGGUAACGGCUUACCAAGGCAACGAUGCAUAGCCGACCUGAGAGGGUGAUCGGCCACACUGGAACUGAGACACGGUCCAGACUCCUACGGGAGGCAGCAGUAGGGAAUCUUCCGCAAUGGGCGAAAGCCUGACGGAGCAACGCCGCGUGAGCGAUGAAGGUCUUCGGAUCGUAAAACUCUGUUAUUAGGGAAGAACAUAUGUGUAAGUAACUGUGCACAUCUUGACGGUACCUAAUCAGAAAGCCACGGCUAACUACGUG